Long non-coding RNA from Macadamia integrifolia, 954 nucleotides. RefSeq lists it as uncharacterized. The transcript has 2 exons. The record is from RefSeq and is a predicted model, not a curated record. NCBI's taxonomy places the organism in Eukaryota, Viridiplantae, Streptophyta, Magnoliopsida, Proteales, Proteaceae.
CCUCUCCUCCUCUCCUCCUCUCCUUCUCUCCAUACUUGCGAUCAAGGGUUCAGACAAGUUCCAGCCACCAAGUAUUGGUAGUUCCAUCACCGGCAAAUACUUCUCCUACUGUCUCCGGUGAGAAAUGCGCUUUGCAUCGUUGCCAUCUUAGGUCGCCGGCAUGAAAAUGUUUGUUUUUUUUUUCUCUUCUUUGUUUCUCUCUAUCUUGUUACUCUGUUACAAUUUCUCUGGAGAAUUCAACCACUGCGGCUGUGCCUCUUGCAUAGACCCUAUUUGUCCUCGAGGUUUUCCUUCACAUACCCUUUUGUAUCUCUUUGGCCCAGUGUUGGGAUUGGGGAGCCUAAUGGCGGGGCCGCCGGCCGCCCCCGACGAUGCUGUUGUUGUCGUUGGGAAUGGAGACAACAAACAAGUGAUUGCCGGUGAUGGAGACCACAAUGGUAACGGUGAUGAGUCUCUCUGGUCGGAACAAGGUAACUCCGAGGUAGCGAAAUUAGGGGUCGAAAGAAGGAGAUAAUUGACGACGAUGCGGUGAGCAGUCAAAGCGGCGGAUGUUCUUGUUGCCAUGACGGGGACUCUGGAGCUUGUAGCGUUGAUGAAUGUGGGAAGGAGGAGAAGGAAGAGCAGGCUGAGCAGCAGGAGAUCAAAUUUGAUAGGGCAUUCUUUCUCCAGGUUGCUCCGCCGGGUGUCCUUGGCUGGAACCAAGUUGUACGCUCAUAUAAUCGCGCAUGAAAAUGGAGUCUUUUCUCAUUUAUGUUCUGCAUUGCACAAAAUUUCAGCAUAGUGCAGCAGAGUUCCUUCAGAAGCCAUUAUCUGAAGACAAUUGAAGAACAUUUGGCAGCAUGUGGCUCACAAGGUGUGCCAUAACCACUGGAUCAUUUAAUUAUUGGUUUGGGUGUUUUGGAUCUUACUGAUUUGGAAGUUAAGGUUAAGGUGAAAUCGAUUUGGGAUCUACAA